GCCGGCUCGCGGCUUCAGACCCUUAGAACCACUUCCGCUUCCACGGUGACGCAUCGCGGGAGAAGGUGGAUUCGGCUGAGAAUCCCAUUUAGAAGGCCCCUAAUCCAUGAAGGCUUCAGGAGCAGAGAGGAAUGGAGAAGAGAAGAUAGAUCCUUUUUUUUUUUUUUUUUUAACAUGCGCCCUUGACCCCCCUCCUCUGCAAGUCCCUGAACUCCCGGAGGGCGGGGGCUCUGUCCUUAUUCCCUACCUCCAGGCCUGGGGUCAGGCAGGAAGUGCUCGGAAAGUGCUUGCAAACUGACGAACGAGUUAACAUCUUCAUCUGAUCAUCUCAAGUUCACUCUUACAGGCACCCCGAGAAGUAGGAACCUAAUAUUUACUGGAUGAGUAAACUGGACCCUCCUGGAGAUGAACAAGGUACUUCUCAUCAGCUGCGGUGGCCGGGCUCUGCGCUGGGGCUACGAGGACGGACCUAUAAGGACCCCUCUGCAGAGAGCAAGAGAGUGAACACAAGCAGGCCUCCCGAUGCGGGGCUCAAACCCAGGACCCUGGGAUCAUGCCGUGAGCUGAAGGCAGAGCCUUAACGACCGACCGAGCCACCCAGGUGCCCUCUUUUAUCAAGUGCUGAGAAACUCUGUCAUUACAAAAAGAACCCUAUAGAAAGCCAGAGAAAGACCCGAGAAUGGAUUUAUAGACAAAGCUUGGUGUCCUUGGAGUCCGAGGCGGGGAAGGCAAAACCCCAGGCCUUCAGCAAGCUGGCCUUCGCUUGGCCGGGUCCCCCACUGCCUCAGCAGAGCCGUGAUUGGGGCGCAGGAGGGCAAAGUAAACCCCAACCAUGCCAGCCGCGCAGCACUGGGGGGCAGAGGUGGGAAUGCUAAACCUGCCGGACUCCCUCCUCCCAGUGGGGGAGAUUCAAAAAAAUAAAGAACCCAGCCCUUCCUUCUGUUCAGGGCACCUGCAGCCGGGCACGAGGCUCCCCGUGAAGGAAUGGACGGGCGGGCGAUCAAACCCAAAGCUGAGCCAAGAACGGACAAUAGCUGAACAUCCUGUUUGCAGGAGGAAACGGAAGCUGGAAGCCGCAGGUCCUCUGGGACUCGGGGAGCUUGAAAGUUCAUGAGAACAAGAGACAAUGACAGGACCACCUGGAACGGACAAAACAAGACGAGAAACAAAUAUCCAGGAAGUCAGAAAUGGUUUAAAACACGGUGCAUCGACCCAAGAGAAGGCCCCCGAGGUGUUACUGGCCCGUGGCCUAGUUCUUUCCGUGCUCACCCAGAAGCUUCUCUGGCACAGUGCUGAGGGGAGAAGGCAAACUGCGGAGCACUACGCUCCAGUCCUUGUUUCUGGAACACAAACGACAUCGUGUCUGGGGCUGUGUUUGGAUCCUGAUUUGAAGAAACUAUUUGUAAAAUGCCAUUUUUGAGACAAGGGGAAAUUUGAGUAUGAACUAGGUUUUAGAUGAAAUCAAGGAAUUAUUAUUUUUUUGAAGAUUUUAUUUAUUUGAGAGUGAGCGAGAGAGAGAGAGAGAGCACGAGCCGGGGCAGAGGCAGAACAGACUCCCCCCUGAGCAGGGAGCCCCACACGGGCUCGCUCCCAGGACCCUGGGAUCAUGACCUGAGCGAAGGAAGGCAGACGCUUAACCAACUGAGCCACCCACGCGCCCUGUAGUUAAGGAAUUAUUGUUUAAAUGUGGUUUUUAAAAUUUUAAUUCAGUUAAUUAACCUAGGAUGUAUUAUUGGUUUCAGAGGUACGGGUCUGUGAUUCAUCAGUCAUAUACAACACCCAGUGCUCAUCACAUC
This is a long non-coding RNA of Ailuropoda melanoleuca (giant panda), 1796 nucleotides long. RefSeq lists it as uncharacterized. NCBI's taxonomy places the organism in Eukaryota, Metazoa, Chordata, Mammalia, Carnivora, Ursidae. The record is from RefSeq and is a predicted model, not a curated record. The transcript is spliced from 3 exons.